GCCGAUGUAGCUCAGCUGGUAGAGCAAUUCCUUCGUAAGGAAGUGGUCGGAGGUUCGAAUCCUCUCAUCGGCU
Molecule: transfer RNA, 73 nt
Filed under: Candidatus Magasanikbacteria bacterium RIFCSPHIGHO2_02_FULL_47_14
Lineage: Bacteria; Candidatus Magasanikiibacteriota
Description: tRNA-Thr
Rfam family: tRNA
About the family: Transfer RNA (tRNA) molecules are approximately 80 nucleotides in length. Their secondary structure includes four short double-helical elements and three loops (D, anti-codon, and T loops).
Source: RNAcentral